AAGUCGUAACAAGGUCUCCGUAGGUGAACCUGCGGAGGGAUCAUUACACAAAUAUGAAGGCGGGCUGGAACCUCUCGGGGUUACAGCCUUGCUGAAUUAUUCACCCUUGUCUUUUGCGUACUUCUUGUUACCUUGGUGGGUUCGCCCACCACUAGGACAAACAUAAACCUUUUGUAAUUGCAAUCAGCGUCAGUAACAAAUUAAUAAUUACAACUUUCAACAACGGAUCUCUUGGUUCUGGCAUCGAUGAAGAACGCAGCGAAAUGCGAUAAGUAGUGUGAAUUGCAGAAUUCAGUGAAUCAUCGAAUCUUUGAACGCACAUUGCGCCCUUUGGUAUUCCAAAGGGCAUGCCUGUUCGAGCGUCAUUUGUACCCUCAAGCUUUGCUUGGUGUUGGGCGUCUUGUCUCUAGCUUUGCUGGAGACUCGCCUUAAAGUAAUUGGCAGCCGGCCUACUGGUUUCGGAGCGCAGCACAAGUCGCACUCUCUAUCAGCAAAGGUCUAGCAUCCAUUAAGCCUUUUUUUCAACUUUUGACCUCGGAUCAGGUAGGGAUACCCGCUGAACUUAAGCA
This 569-nucleotide ribosomal RNA is filed under the name uncultured fungus. RNAcentral describes it as "eukaryotic LSU rRNA". The stretch from base 212 to 365 matches the Rfam family "5.8S ribosomal RNA". The record is from RNAcentral. Lineage: Eukaryota; Fungi.